RNAcentral lists this ribosomal RNA (356 nucleotides) under uncultured bacterium. RNAcentral describes it as "bacterial SSU rRNA". It matches the Rfam family "Bacterial small subunit ribosomal RNA", at positions 29 to 375 of the family's 1533-position model. The record is from RNAcentral.
AACGAACGCUGGCGGCACGCCUAAUACAUGCAAGUCGAACGAGAAGCUGUAGCAAUACAGUUGUACAGUGGCGAACGGGUGAGGAAUACAUGGGUGACCCUACCCUCGAGUGGGGAAUAACCAGCCGAAAGGUUGGCUAAUACCGCGUACGUUUCCCAGUCUGCGGGUUGGGAAGGAAAGCGAUGCCGUGGGUAUCGCGCUCAAGGUUGGGCUCAUGCCCUAUCAGCUUGNGGUUGGGGAACGGCUCACCAAGGCAACGACGGGUAGCUGGUCUGAGAGGACGAUCAGCCACACUGGCACUGCGACACGGGCCAGACUCCUACGGGAGGCAGCAGUAAGGAAUAUUGCGCAAUGGG